GUGAGGAAUAUUGGACAAUGGGCGCAAGCCUGAUCCAGCCAUGCCGCGUGCAGGAAGACGCAUCUAUGGUGUGUAAACUGCUUUUGUACGGGAAGAAACACUCCCUCGUGAGGGAGCUUGACGGUACCGUAAGAAUAAGGAUCGGCUAACUCCGUGCCAGCAGCCGCGGUAAUACGGAGGAUCCAAGCGUUAUCCGGUAUCAUUGGGUUUAAAGGGUACGUAGGCGGCUUAAUAAGUCAGUGGUGAAAGCCCAUCGCUCAACGAUGGAACGGCCAUUGAUACUGUUAGACUUGAAUUACAAGGAAGUAACUAGAAUAUGUAGUGUAGCGGUGAAAUGCUUAGAUAUUACAUGGAAUACCAAUUGCGAAGGCAGGUUACUACUUGUGGAUUGACGCUGAUAGACGAAAGCGUGGGGAGCGAACAGGAUUAGAAACCCCUGUAGUCC
This 445-nucleotide ribosomal RNA is filed under the name uncultured bacterium. Its description in RNAcentral is "partial 16S ribosomal RNA". It matches the Rfam family "Bacterial small subunit ribosomal RNA", at positions 354 to 796 of the family's 1533-position model. The record is from RNAcentral.